UCCGGUUUGUCACCGGCAGUCUCGCAUGAGUCCCCAACUUAAUGCUGGCAACACUUCACGGGGGUUGCGCUCGUUGCGGGACUUAACCCAACAUCUCACGACACGAGCUGACGACAGCCAUGCAGCAUCUGUGGUGCACCCUCGAAGGUCACACGUUUCCGUGCGCUUGCAGCACCAUGUCAAGUCCAGGUAAGGUUCUUCGCGUUGCAUCGAAUUAAAGAACAUGCUCCGCUGCUUGUGCGGGCCCCCGUCAAUUCUUUUGAGUUUUAGCCUUGCGGCCGUACUCCCCAGGCGGGAUACUUAACGCGUUAACUUCGGCACAGACAGAUUCGACUCCGCCCACACCCAGUAUCCAUCGUUUACGGCGUGGACUAC
RNAcentral lists this unclassified non-coding RNA (375 nucleotides) under uncultured Rubrobacterales bacterium. Its description in RNAcentral is "contains 16S-23S intergenic spacer region". The record is from RNAcentral. Lineage: Bacteria; Bacillati; Actinomycetota; Rubrobacteria; Rubrobacterales.